This 293-nucleotide ribosomal RNA is filed under the name uncultured prokaryote. RNAcentral's name for it is "partial 16S ribosomal RNA". It matches the Rfam family "Bacterial small subunit ribosomal RNA", at positions 355 to 642 of the family's 1533-position model. The record is from RNAcentral.
UGGGGAAUCAUGGUCAAUGGGCGAAAGCCUGAACCUGCGACGCCGCGUGAGUGAUGAAGGUCGUAAGAUCGUAAAACUCUUUUCAGGGAUCUUAAAGCCUGUCCGUCAACAACGGGCAGGUCUGACUCUCCCUGGAAGAAGCCCCAGCCAACUACGUGCCAGCAGCUGCGGUAAUACGUAGGGGGCGAGCGUUAUUCGGAAUUACUGGGGGUAAAGGGUAUGUAGGCGGCCCUUCCAGUCGCGCGUCAAAGUCCAGUGCGCAACGCUGGGGGUGCGCGCGAUACUGACGGGCU